GAUCUAGUGACUGGGUUGUGAGAGUCACACUGUAGAGAGGAAUGCUCCAUUGAUAACAACUGGGGGGAAUAUCCCAGAGCCAGAGAAACGGAACUGUGUUUCGUUGGAGGGAAGGCAUGGAGGGAAGGAGUGGGUGGAGAUCUGGACCAUGAUUAGCCCAUCUCUGUGUGGUGGAGAUCCCAGAACUGCAGCCCGACGACUGGAUACGGUCAGGCUCAUCUACUGCUCUCCUUCUGGAGCUCAGGACUUGUCCGUUAAAGCCCCCCCGUCCUCCCCGUGUCAUCGAUGGCCUUCCAGCAUACAUGGUAAGAUGCCUCCUGUGUGUUUGACCACGGGGCAGGGGUUUCCAGUACCUGGUUGACUGGGAGUGUUAUGGCCCAGAGGAGAGGUGCUGGGUUCCUGCUAAAGACAUCCUGGACCCGGCCCUCAUCGCCGACUUUCACCGGCGGCACCCCGGUCAACCUUGGUCAACCAGGUUUGCCCCCUGGAGGGGGUCACACCCUAAUCUGUUUCCCCUGUCUUUGUGCUUGUCUCCACCCUCAUUCAAGUGUCACCCAUUAUCCCCAGUGUAUUUAUACCUGUGCUCUCUGUUUGUCUGUUGCCAGUUCGUCUUGUCAAGUCAACCAGCGUGUUUUUUCUGUGCUCCUGCUUUUUUCUAGUCUCUGUUUUUCUAGUCUUCCCCGUUCUGACCUUUUGCCUGCCCUGACACUGAGCCCGCCUGCCUGACCAUUCAGCCUGCCCUGACCUCAAGCCCGCCUGCCGCCCUGUACCUUUUGGACUCUGACCUGGUUAAUGAACUUCUGCCUGUCCUCGACCUGCCUCUUGUCUGACCCUUACUUUUUAAUAAAUAUCAAAGACUCAAA
Long non-coding RNA from Oncorhynchus tshawytscha (Chinook salmon), 863 nucleotides. NCBI's taxonomy places the organism in Eukaryota, Metazoa, Chordata, Actinopteri, Salmoniformes, Salmonidae. The record is from Ensembl.